GGACCUGACUGCUAUCGGAUUGAUACUAAGCCAUGCGAGUCAUUGUAGUAAUACAAGGCAGACGGCUCAGUAACGCGUAGUCAACCUACCCCAUGGACGGGGAUAACCUCGGGAAACUGAGAAUAAUACCCGAUAGAACAUUAUGCCUGGAAUGGUUUAUGUUUCAAAUAAUUUAUUGCCGUAGGAUGGGACUGCGGCCUAUCAGUUUGUUGGUGAGGUAAUGGCCCACCAAGACUAUUACAGGUACGGGCUCUGAGAGGAGUAGCCCGGAGAUGGGUACUGGGACACGGACCCAGGCCCUAUGGGGCGCAGCAGGCGAGAAAACUUUGCAAUGUGCGAAAGCACGACAAGGUUAAUCCGAGUGGUUUCUGCUAAAGAAACCUUUUGUCAGUCCUAGAAACACUGAUGAAUAAGGGGUGGGCAAGUUCUGGUGU
This 434-nucleotide ribosomal RNA is filed under the name uncultured archaeon. RNAcentral's name for it is "bacterial SSU rRNA". It matches the Rfam family "Archaeal small subunit ribosomal RNA", at positions 19 to 458 of the family's 1478-position model. The record is from RNAcentral.